AUGGCGUCGGCGCCGGCCCUGGGGAGGGAGCUGCUGGAGGAGGCGCGGGCGCCGGGGUUCACGGCGUGGCUGCAUGGUCUACGACGGCAGAUCCACCAGCACCCGGAGCUGGCCUUCCAGGAGCACCGCACCUCGGCGCUCGUGCGUGCCGAGCUGGACGCCCUCGCCAUCCGCUACGUCCGGCCUGUCGCGCGCACCGUUGUCGUCGCCACCAUCGCCGGCGUUGCCGGCCCCGGCCCCGUGUUCGCGCUCCGGGCAGACAUGGACGCGCUGCCCAUCCAGGUCAGCAAUAAUGCAAAAUACAGUAAAUGGUCGACAAGGGUGUAA
This 327-nucleotide ribosomal RNA is filed under the name Triticum aestivum (bread wheat). RNAcentral describes it as "partial small subunit ribosomal RNA". The record is from RNAcentral. Lineage: Eukaryota; Viridiplantae; Streptophyta; Magnoliopsida; Poales; Poaceae.